Molecule: ribosomal RNA, 893 nt
Filed under: Sphingobacterium multivorum
Lineage: Bacteria; Pseudomonadati; Bacteroidota; Sphingobacteriia; Sphingobacteriales; Sphingobacteriaceae
Description: bacterial SSU rRNA
Rfam family: Bacterial small subunit ribosomal RNA
Source: RNAcentral
AGAGCCUGGACCAGGCAUGCCGCGUGCAGAAUGACUGGCCUAUGGGUGUAACUGCUUUUGUCCAGGAAUAACCUAGAUACGUGUAUUCUAGCUGAAUGUACUGGAAGAUAAGGAUCGGCUAACUCCGUGCCAGCAGCCGCGGUAAUACGAGGAUUCCGAGCGUUAUCCGGAUUUAUUGGGUUUAAAGGGUGCGUAGGCGGCCUAUUAAGUCAGGGGUGAAAUACGGUGGCUCAACCAUCGCAGUGCCUUUGAUACUGAUGGGCUUGAAUCCAUUUGAAGUGGGCGGAAUAAGACAAGUAGCGGUGAAAUGCAUAGAUAUGUCUUAGAACUCCGAUUGCGAAGGCAGCUCACUAAGCUGGUAUUGACGCUGAUGCACGAAAGCGUGGGGAUCGAACAGGAUUAGAUACCCUGGUAGUCCACGCCCUAAACGAUGAUAACUCGAUGUUGGCGAUAGACAGCCAGCGUCCAAGCGAAAGCGUUAAGUUAUCCACCUGGGGAGUACGCCCGCAAGGGUGAAACUCAAAGGAAUUGACGGGGGCCCGCACAAGCGGAGGAGCAUGUGGUUUAAUUCGAUGAUACGCGAGGAACCUUACCCGGGCUUGAAAGUUAGUGAAGAGUGCAGAGACGCACUCGUCCUUCGGGACACGAAACUAGGUGCUGCAUGGCUGUCGUCAGCUCGUGCCGUGAGGUGUUGGGUUAAGUCCCGCAACGAGCGCAACCCCUAUGUUUAGUUGCCAGCAUGUAGUGGUGGGGACUCUAAACAGACUGCCUGUGCAAACAGAGAGGAAGGUGGGGACGACGUCAAGUCAUCAUGGCCCUUACGUCCGGGGCUACACACGUGCUACAAUGGAUGGUACAGCGGGCAGCUACAUAGCAAUAUGAUGCUAAUCUCU